Molecule: long non-coding RNA, 702 nt
Organism: Eptesicus fuscus (big brown bat)
Lineage: Eukaryota; Metazoa; Chordata; Mammalia; Chiroptera; Vespertilionidae
Exons: 2
Source: RefSeq, a predicted model, not a curated record
CGGAGACGUGUCCCCGGACACCACGGGCGACUUGUACACGAUCUCCGCCCCGUGGUCCGUCUUGGCUUUGGCGUUCUCACGGAAGGGACGUGGGUGAUGUUAUCCAGAGACCCGAUCUUCGACUGGACCCUGUCCUUGAAGUCCAGCUUCUCGGAUUUGACUUCCACCUGGCCGCCUCCUGGAACACAGCACACACGAAUUAGUGUGGUUUCGAGAGUCAUUCCCGGGAGCACCGACCUCUGGGAGCAGCGAGGACGCGCCUUCACUUAGAAAGUAGCUGGGGCACCAGUCAGUCCUUCUAAAGGGCUUGGGAAGAGUUUGCUUCUUCUCUCUAAUCAAGGUAUGCAUCCAAUGUUUACGCAGAAAACUUCCUCCUCAGAUAAGGCAGAGGUAAGUGACCGCUCGUCGGGGAGAAGUUACUCCCCGUUCUAAACUGGAUGGCUUCCAGAGAGGGAAGUCCUUCUGUGUCAACAUCCUGGAAGCUGCCGCCCUGCAAGACCUUGGAAUUAAACUGAAGGCAAAAGGCACCCCAAAUAAAGAAGGGCCCUGGCCCUCCUGCCCCCUUAGACACUCGAUGCCACCCACACCCACGGCGGAGACACGGUCUGAGGGUGAGAGAAACGACAGCUGACCCUUGAACAACUGCAUGGUCCGCUUAUACGAAUAUUUUUUUCAAUAAAUAUUGUGUCUAUUCCUUAUGAA